GAAGUCCGAGGUGCUGGCGAUCUCCCAGAUUGAAAGAACGUUGAUCUGGUCCCAGGUUAUGUCGGGGAGCAAUUGGACUGAAAACGAUGCAUUUUUGUAAGCUGUUUGAUUGAGGCGUUGACCGGAGAUGGGGAACCCACUGGUGAGGUCAGAGAAGUUGAGGGAGACGGCGCCCCAGAAAACGACGUCGGAUGAGCCAGAUAACAUGUCGAAUCCGGUGACCUGGAAAGAGCCGGAUAAACGUCCCAGCUGUUUGAUUUUGUUGGUUGUGACAAUUAUUUAGUAUAACAACUACACUUGCAAUAAUUACGAUCUUCAUCCUGCUAAAUAUACCGGAGAAAAUCAAUUUUCCAGUUGCUUCGGAUCUUUAAAAAAAAAAAUUGAACAUGAAAUGAAAGCAACUCUAAAUGCAAGACUUAAGUGAACUUUCUUUAUCAAACAAAGAAUUAACACUUCCAUCUCCAUCAUUUUCAUUAUUUUUUACUCAGAAUCAAUGAAAAGAAAAGAAAAAAAAAGGUUAAGGUGAGGAUAGUAAUUACAUUAUUAAUGUUCAUUUUUUUAAUAAUUCAAAAAAUUAUAUUGUAUAUAAUGUAUAUUAUUUUUUCAAUUAAUAUAAAAAAUAAUAGUUCAAAAAAAUGCACUACUAAUAUAAAACAUAUAUAACGAAUUAACUGAUAACCAAAAUUUAAAAAAAUCACUAACCAACCUCCAACUGAACUAAAUUCGACAACCAACCAAAUAACCAAAUUAGAUCUAUUCAAUUGAUUGGUUAGAUUUUAACCGAACCAUGAAUACACCUAUAUUCGGGGCUCUUUCAUUGCAUUUUGCUAUCAUUUUGUUUGUCCAAUUAUAAAAAGUUCGAAUAAAUAUAAAAAAAUUUGAUUUAUUAAAAUGGGUAAAUAUUCCAAGAAGUAUUUUACAUAUUUAAAAAUUUAUAUAUUUAUAUUAAUGGUUGAAAAUGUGAUAACUUCAGACGGAAGAUUGAAACCGUUAACACAGUCAAAGAGCCUAGGAGAGAAUCCAUAGAACAAUCCUACAUGUUGACUUUGCCGAUAUUUAUCAUAAACAGUUGAACAGUUCCCAUCAAAAGUCAAAAGUAUAAACUAAUCAAUGAAAAAGAAGAAGCUGUUCUUCUAACUUGUUACUUUGGAUAAACCAAGUGCUUCACCUUUUGAAUUCCAUCUUCUAGAUUUUGAUUUCUAGAUAACAUACACAGAUAAAUCACAAGAAUGUAUAAGCAACAUAAAUAUAUUUAAAACGAAAAAAUCUCGGGUUUGAUUAUGGGGUGCCUAACUGUUUACCAGUCGAACUGCUAUUGUAUGCUUGAUCGACCAAAGGACGGAAAACUCGAUUAAAAUGGCUUGAAUGAAUGAUCUGAUAUGGUGGCUAGAUUACUGAGAGAUUUGCAAGCAGUCAACAAAGGAAAUGGGUCAUUUAUUGAAUGUAAAUUACAUACCUACAUCGGUCAUCGGUAUUCUGCUUCGAAAAUUCAUCUUUAGACAUGUGCUUCUCUGCAAAGAACACCUUUCAUGUCACCAGAAAAAGCUAUGCUCGUCUUUCUUGCAAUCAUAUCGAUAAUCUGUAACAUUAUGAGUCGAACAAAUAAAGGGAAACAGCCAAAAUGAUGAUACUGACAUAGUUACAGCUGAAUUUACCUAUGUCACUCCGACUCUUGACGUUCAUUUUCCCUUGAGUAUUUAUCCAGCACAUAUUCAGACAUGGAUAUGGAGAUAUAAUCCUACAAAUAUCGGGAAAAUUACAAAAGUUAAACAUAUUCAUAUCUUACUUCAGAGUCCGAGUAAGAGGAAUUUACAAUAAGUACCUGUAGGAACAUUUUAGGAGUCUUGGCAUGUGGGUUGACUUAACUUUAUAACCACCUUCAACAAUUGGUUGAUUGAAUCUUUUACCUCAUCCGGAACGGUGAGUUUUGCAGGCACUAAAUCUAAAACAUACAAAGUGAUAACUUUCAUUACAUCAACCAGAAGCAAACUGUUGGUACCGAUUCCCCAUACACUCUUAUUAGCAUACUCGCAUGAAUCCUUUAACAUGCAUCGACUGCAUACCUGAAGAGAUCACCCAUCAGUAAAACAAACAACAUAGGAAGAUUUGUACUCAGUAUAGUAAACAUUGGAAUAAUGGCUUACAGUGUUUUCUUGAAUUUUAAAGAACUUGCGCAAUCUCUUAGCAGCGAAGACAUUAUUUUUAUCAAGGGAAGCGCAACCAAAGAGCACCACUUUUUUCAAGUGACUUCCCGGCAACCAUCUGCAAAUACCAAUAUCGAAGGUUACUUUAUUUACAAGAAGCAAAAGGACAGUCAUUGAAGUAAUGAUUCCCCAAAGCGAUGGCAAGGAGAUGAGCUAUAUAUAAAAGCAAGAUAUAUUAAUAGAUCAACUGCAUCGGUGUACAUAUGGUUGACCAUAUCAUAUCAAGUCAAAAAUUAUGCUACAAUCAUUGAUUGAUAAAAUCUGUCACACCUGAUUUUUUGUCAAACACAUAGAAACCAACUUUGCACAAUUUUAGUAGAACAUCAUAUAGCUCUGCCAAACAUAUGCUGCUAUUAUGUACUUAAUUACUAACAUUGAUUUUAAGUGAAGGUUCAGUGCAAAUCUGCCAGCUUUGCAAUGCUUGAAUCUAAGACCGCAUUCUUACAGCAUGCUAUGGCUAAAUCUCUUGAUAAUUUGACUGAAGAAUGCAGAGAAUUUUUAUAAUACCUCUAAAGUUUAUUUGUAUAAGGGGAGGGUUUAGGGUUGUCCAAGGAUUGAACCCAAGAUUGGUAUCAAUUAAAUACUUGAUAUCAAGUCUUUUGCCACUCAACCUAUGGUUCGGUCCAGAUGAAUAUCUCUAAUAUAACUACAUGAAAAAGAGAUGCUUGACUAUACACUUAUGUCUAUGAAUACCAGUAGUUUUGCACAUAUGUAUGCAUCUAUGCACUUAAAUAUGAUUAUCCCUCUUUCCCUAGUUUCUGAAUUUCUUUUUUAAGUUUUCCUAUAUACCCUCUUACACCAUAACUAUACAAUAUGCAUAAGCUCAAUUCUUUUUAUAUGUUUUUCUAUAUAUAUAUAUAUAUCCUAUAUCCUAGCUCGAACUCUAGUACUUAAGGAAAAAUGAACAGUAACAAUGAAGUAAGAAACUAAUAUUAUCAAUCCACCUAGUUAUUAUAAAUUCAUUUGAAAAAUGCAAAAUAACCAUAAUCUCAAACUCCACUUUCCCCUACAAUGUUAAGAACAACCAAAUAAAACAUCAAGUACAUCAAUCAGCCAACAUGAAUAAAAAAACAUUAACAAUUGUCAAACAAUGUCAAAUCCAAAUUAAAAAAGAAAAAAAGGAGAAAACAAAAGUUCUUACUUUGCAAUAUCUUGAUGAUCUUUACCAAAAUUGUAAGCAGCAAACUUGAUAAAAUCCCUGCCAUAACUAUUCUCAAAGUAACCAAAAUCCAACUUGUUGUCUUCCACAAAACUAGCCUCCUUAAAAUACCCUUUUGUAUACAAAUGCCUGAUGAAAAUCUCAGCUAACUGUGAAAGACCCUUCAAAGCUCUUACCUUUUCCCUUUCUCUUCUAGCUUUCAUCUUCUUUUUCAUCUUUUCUUCUUUGUUUUCAUCCCCAAUAAACUCAACCAAACACUUGAAUUUCUUGGGUCUUUUCCCCUCUAAUUUCUCUGUUUCUUUCUUUUUCCCUUUUGGGUUUUCUUUGAAAUUCCUAAAUUCUUUCACCGACUCAUUGAUUUCGCCUUUUCUCCGGGUUUCAGUUCCUGCGGGUUUUACUGUUAAAACAGUGUCUCGAAACAACAGAGAAAGUGGGGUCUUGGUUGGUAGCUGGGAAGAGGAAUUAAGGGUUCUUCUGAUUAUGAAGGAUGGUGAAGGACAAAGGGUUUUGUAAAGAGGAUUGUGGAUUUUGAGGAGAACUUUGGUACGCGUAGACAGAAUGAAAGCUUUGAAGAGAUACAUUUUGCAGCGGAAGGGUUUAAGAUUAAAAGGAGGGUCUUUUCUGCAGAGGAGCUUAGGGAUCUUAAAUACACAUCCAUCUUUUUAUUACUUAAAAAAUUACUUAUUUAUUAAUAUUAAUCUAUUUUUGUAACUAAAUUUAAAUAAAAUUUUAUUAAAUAAAUAGCAAUUUAAGCUAAAAUGUUCAAUAAAGCUAGGCGAUUUCAAGUGUUAUUAUUUGAAGGUUUGAUUCUUCAAUGUGAUAAUUUUCAAAUUAAAAAAAUCUUUGGGGGUUAGGCGAUUUAUGCUUUAAUUCCCAUUAAAUACCAAUAAAUUUUGCUUAAUUGAAAGCUUAUUUCAUUACUAUGAGAAAACCAAAAACAUUGGUAAGAAGUAUUGAAUCAAUAAAUUAAAAAAAAAUUAAUACAAUACUUUUUACUGGAUUUUUUUAAUUAAAAAAAGUCCCUAACUUUUGUAUUUUCUUCAUUGGCAAGGGGCUUAUCCAUUGAGAUGGCAAAGCUAGCAACCUUUUGCCCAACAAAAAAGAGGAAAUGAAGCACUCGGAUUCUGGUGUUUCAGCUUGCAUGUUUGAUUCCGGCGAUCGACAAUGGUGUCAAAAUACAAGUACAGGGAGUCCUUGUUGGAUGGCAACCAAAGUUUUGGAGCCCGGAACUGGAUACAACUUCAAGGCUGAUAUAUGGUUGUUUGGGAUGUUUAGUUGGAGUUGGCUCAUGGUCGUCCGCCCUUGUCGAUAUAUCUGCCAACAAAGGCUCAUGACUGAAUUAUGUUUGACAUAUUUGAAGUUCUCGAAGCCGUUUAAAGACAUGGUUGCAAUGUGGUUGGUGAAAGAUCAAACCAAGGGGCCAACUGUAGAUAAAUUGUUGAAGCACUUGUUUCUCAAGCAUGCAAAGCCUACUCAGCUUGCUUUAAAGAAGCUAUUAGACUUCCAGGUGAGUGUCUACUUUAACAUAAGCUUAUUUUGCCACCAAAAGCAAAAUUAUCACAAAGAAAGUGAAACAAAAAGGGGAAAAAAACUGACUGUAUAUUUCCGUGUAUUAAGAGUUCAAGAUAACAGAAAAUUAAGGUCUAUUUCAAUCAAGAGAAAUAAGGUACGAUAAAUUGAUCAAGAGUAUCAAAAAGAAUUAUCAAGAGUAAAGGUGUAUCAAGUAUACAAAAUACAUGUUGGUAGAAAAAAGAAUUAUCAAGAGUAAAGCUCUACUUACAGUGGGGAAAGCCGUCCGAGAAAAAAGCAGCUCCAUGUUAGUAAGAAGCUUUCAAAACUGGUGAAGAAUGGAGCUUUUUUAUAUUCAAAAAGAAAAAAUAUAUUAUAUGAAUAAAUCUAUCUGUUCAAUGGCUCUAACUGUACUUCAAUUACUCCAGAACUUUGUGAACCUUUUCGAGCAGAAGCGUCGUUCAGGCUUAAAAGGUCAAUGGAAUCCUCUUCUUUGACGUUGCCGAGAACCCAGUUGUUCCUUCCUUGUAAUCUAUCUCUCUGUUGUCUUUCACGAUACUCCAGAUAAAUUACAGUCAAUGCAGCAAUCAAGAACCAUAUUAUUAAUACCCAGCUAAGAUCGUGGACGUUUUCUACUCUAUAUCUUUCUCCUAAAUGCUUCAUUCCAGUGAAAAGUGCUGCAAUUCCUAUGGCAAUGGCACCUCUGCCGAUAAUUAAAUUAAUCUCUUUGUGGAAGCAUCCUCCCCAUUAGCAGGUUUCUCCGGUCUGAGAUAUGCAUUCAUUGGUUGCACAGAGGCAAAAACUAUGGCAGCAAUACCAAGCUUAACAUGUAACGAGCUAACAUAGAAACCCCGAAGUUCGGCAACUGCAAAAAGAACACCAAGUAGGAUAAUUGCUAAUCCUGAAUAUUGUAGGUAAAUAUGAAUUUGGUACCAUCCAUCACCCUUUACAUGUUUUAGGUAUCUAGCAGCCAAUAUUCCACCAGGAAUCAAAAUACCCCAGGAGAGGAACAUCAUAAACCCAUGUACAGCUAAGACAGGUUGUAAACCUUGCUCAGCCUCAGAAGAACCACGGAUAAGCAGCACUUGCACAGGCCUUUGACUCGUGACCGUAUGCAUGUUUUUCUCACUGAGAUGAUCAUCAGUCCACUUUGAACCUAUUGCCCAUAUGACUUUAAGAGGAGUUGUAGGAUCAACAAUGUUCUUGCACUCUGGCUUAUCAUUUUGAUUGCAUGAUGGUUUUAAUGGACGUGUGAAUUCCAAAGUAAUGAUGCCAUCUUCUGACCUGCACCUGACAUGUGUCAGAUUCUCAUUUGUUGGAUGGAUGUUCAAGGGACGCUUUCCAUCAAUCCAAUAUGUAUUUAAAUGCCCUUUUCCAGUAUCGCCAAUCCAGCCCACAUAUGCAUAGCUAUUCACCAUCCCAUUACCGAAACCUAUUGCAAGAUAGCCACUCUUCUUCACGCCACGGGCAGCAAUAGUUAUUGAAUCUUCUGAUAACGUCCAAAAGAAAGUGACUUGUUGAUCAUCUAAAAGCACACUAUUGUUAUACAUAUCGGACAGGGCACCAUCAACAACUUGAACUUUCCAUCCCAUCUUCUCCUGGUACAAGGACUGAUAAUACACUUGAUCGGGGGUAUUCCUAUCGGGAACCCAAAUCAAUUCGUGAGGAUUUGCUACAACUCCUUCCGCUUCUGGCCCUCCAGAAUAAAUAGUCUCAGUUGCAUUCCUUAAUGUAGCAUUCCCACCAAGAGAAUCUGAAGUAAUAUACAAUGCAACAUCAUGCCCUGCCUGCACCAAAAACUUAACUGGCACCCCUCUUUCCACUCUCAACACCGGUGCUUCCUUAUUAUUAAUAUACAAAACCUUAGACGGACUUGGCGGAUUUGGAUAAUGCAACACCUCCCCUGUUGUAACAACAAGGGGGACUUCUGUAUCAGCAAUAAUCAACUCUUGAUCCUCAUUAUCAUCAGCAUCCAAUGGCCCAAAACAAUCAUCUACCUUCUCUGAAACAUUAAGAACCAAGUGUCCAUAUGCAACCUUCUCUGGACCCCCAUGAAAUUGGGGCAAAAAAUGAGACCGAUUUUCAUUUGGUGGUUUCAUCAACCCUAAUGCCCAAAUAACCCUCAUAUCCUCAUUAGGAUACACAGGCAAAUCAUACUUCUUAUCUGUCGAAUUCAAUGGUUUCCUAAACAUAAUUAAAGAAACCCCAUCUCUCCUAUGUCCAUAAACCAACCUAGUAUUAUUCACCAUCAUGCCAUUUUUCGAGUUCUCAUAAACUACAUCAGGGCAAACACCUAUAGCUGUCCGGUCUUUAGAACUCAACUUACAUUCAGUAUAAGCCGUAAUGUAAAAAUCAUCAACAAAAGGCCUACCUUCCUCAGUAAAACUUGCCACCGUAACAUCAGCUUCGGACAUCAGCUCCUUCGUCCUAUUCGGAUUCGCCCACCCAAAUGCCAUGUAAUAGGUCGUCGGCGCCGCCGCUUCUAACCCGAUCUCGAUCCAAUUUUCCUCCACAUUCAAGUUCCACCGGACCCUAUAAUUAUCCGACAAGUUCUUGCAGUUAUCAAACACUGUAUGCACCGAGUCCGAAACCGAAUCCGACCCGUUUCGAGGGAGGGUGACAUGGCCGAAGUCCGAGGUGCUGGCGAUGUCCCAGAUUGAAAGAACGUUGAUCUGGUCCCAGGUUAUGUCGGGGAGCAAUUGGACUGAAAACGAUGCGUUUUUUGUAAGCUGUUUGAUUGAGGCGUUGACCGGAGAUGGGGAACCCGCUGGUGAGGUCAGAGAAGUUGAGGGAGACGGUGCCCCAGAAAACGACGUCGGACGAGCAGGAUAACAUGUCGAAUCCGGUGACCUGGAAAGAGC
This 7733-nucleotide long non-coding RNA is filed under the name Gossypium barbadense (sea-island cotton). RNAcentral's name for it is "long non-coding RNA (GBAR_LNC021250)". The record is from RNAcentral. Lineage: Eukaryota; Viridiplantae; Streptophyta; Magnoliopsida; Malvales; Malvaceae.